UUACGGGAGGCAGCAGUGGGGAAUAUUGGACAAUGGGCGCAAGCCUGAUCCAGCAAUGCCGCGUGUGUGAAGAAGGCCUUAGGGUUGUAAAGCACUUUCAGUGGGGAGAAAGUUACGGGUGUUAAUACCAUUCGUAAUUGAUGUUACCCACAGAAGAAGCACCGGCUAACUCUGUGCCAGCAGCCGCGGUAAUACAGAGGGUGCAAGCGUUAAUCGGAAUUACUGGGCGUAAAGCGUGUGUAGGUGGUUGCGUAAGUUAGAUGUGAAAUCCCCGGGCUCAACCUGGGAAUUGCGUUUAAAACUGCGUAGCUAGAGUAUUGUAGAGGAUAGUGGAAUUUCCAGUGUAGCGGUGAAAUGCGUAGAUAUUGGAAGGAACACCAGUGGCGAAGGCGACUAUCUGGGCAAAUACUGACACUGAGACACGAGAGCAUGGGGAGCAAACAGGAUUAGAUACCCUGGUAGUCCG
RNAcentral lists this ribosomal RNA (466 nucleotides) under uncultured bacterium. RNAcentral's name for it is "bacterial SSU rRNA". It matches the Rfam family "Bacterial small subunit ribosomal RNA", at positions 339 to 797 of the family's 1533-position model. The record is from RNAcentral.